GACGAACGCUGGCGGCGUGCUUAACACAUGCAAGUCGAACGGAAAGGCCCUGCUUUUGUGGGGUGCUCGAGUGGCGAACGGGUGAGUAACACGUGAGUAACCUGCCCUUGACUUUGGGAUAACUUCAGGAAACUGGGGCUAAUACCGGAUAGGAGCUCCUGCUGCAUGGUGGGGGUUGGAAAGUUUCGGCGGUUGGGGAUGGACUCGCGGCUUAUCAGCUUGUUGGUGGGGUAGUGGCUUACCAAGGCUUUGACGGGUAGCCGGCCUGAGAGGGUGACCGGCGACAUUGGGACUGAGAUACGGCCCAGACUCCUACGGGAGGCAGCAGUGGAGAAUAUUGCAGAAUGGGCGGAAGCCUGAUGCAACAACGCCGCGUGCGGGAUGACGGCCUUCGGGUUGUAAACCGCUUUCGCCUGUGACGAAGCGUGAGUGACGGUAAUGGAUAAAGAAGCACCGGCUAACUACGUG
RNAcentral lists this ribosomal RNA (468 nucleotides) under uncultured bacterium. RNAcentral describes it as "partial 16S ribosomal RNA". It matches the Rfam family "Bacterial small subunit ribosomal RNA", at positions 28 to 507 of the family's 1533-position model. The record is from RNAcentral.